Rana temporaria (common frog) is the source of this 1738-nucleotide long non-coding RNA. RefSeq lists it as uncharacterized. The transcript has 2 exons. The record is from RefSeq and is a predicted model, not a curated record. NCBI's taxonomy places the organism in Eukaryota, Metazoa, Chordata, Amphibia, Anura, Ranidae.
UAUAUAUAUAUAUAUAUAUAUAUAUAUAUAUAUAUAUAUAUAGCGGUACCCCUGUAGGGGCUACUAAGUGAUGUGGCCCACCUGUCACCCUGCACGACCCGGCAUUCACUUCCCAGACACUACAAGACAAUGAACAGUCCGUUGUUUUUUUUUGUUUUUGUUAUUUUAUUGGACUGUAUAUGUCGCUCACCAGCCCUCCUGACUCCGACCGGUGGUUCCCUCCUUAAAACUUGCCCGGCAGUACCAGCUCCUGCUGUCAUCUCUGACUCCUCCUGUGCCUUCUGUCCAGAUCCUUCAUGCUUUGAAGGGCCCAGUCCUGCACCUGAGCCCCAGGCCCAAGAUCCCCCCCCCAGACUUGAGAACUCCUUCAAAGGCCUUGACCACCUAGUACCCCAUCUCCAGUUCUUACACACAACAACUCCUUCCCAGCUGGGCUGACCCUGAGUAGUUCAAGGAGGCCUGCCCCCUGCCAAUCCUAGUUGGGGAUUGGUCAGGGAUCCUGAGACACCCCAAACAGCUCCAUCUCUCUUUCCCUCCUCUUCUUCUAUAAUCCUGCAGAAGGCAGAGGGAGGUAACAGUGGAGUGAUGCUGUCUGUAAGUCACAUCUGCUGCUCUGAGCCACUCCAAACCCAUACAGACCAAAACAAACAGGCCUAGCUUCUAGCUAGGCCUGCCUAAAUUUACUCAUACUACAAAAAUCCUCACUUCUAGAACCUACCUAGGUAGAUGGUGCUAUAUAUAUUAUACAUACACACACACACAUAUAUAUAUACAUAUACAUAAGCCAAGUAAGUAAGUAAGCCAAGCAAGCCUGUAGCGAAAGAAAUAUGCCACCAUUGCCAACCUGCUUCUUAAAAUGCUUGUCAUCUUUUUCAGAAGUCCAUGACCCAUGUAUGUCCUUUGCACAGGUUUUCUCUAAAGUGAGCAUUUGGCUAAACCAUAGACAAUAUUUACCUAUUCUAACAUGCAGUAAAUAAGAUUAAGAAAACCCUCACUAACCAUUAUAGCUUCAGGCACUGUGGAUGGAGGAGCAGGGUGAGCUGAGCUGUUGAAAAAAUUAUUUUAAUUAUUUAAGUUCUUAGGCUGUGAAUUAUAAGGAUGAAUUGCUCCACAGUGUAUACAGCUAAAGGUUAUUAAGGUAUUGUAAUAAAGGUUAUUUUCUGCUUGUCAACAAUAUGUAUAUACUUGAAAAUCCAUAGACUGGUUCAAUGUUAACAGUAAGCCAUGUGUAAUAGACACUUCUACAAAACUAGUGAACAUAGAAGAACACAACACAACAACUCUUAUAAAUGAGUAUGGGAAUGCUACACUAAAUCUCCUGUGGGAAGACCAUUUUCAUGUUGUUUUUACCUAACUGCGCAUCAUCUGUCAUUAUUAUACACAAGUCACUACAUAAUGUUUUUUGGCAUUUUGGGUCUCACAAAUCUUUCAAAUUUAAAUGUCAUUAUUACAGCCAUUUACAGAAUUAUAUACUUGUGAAUAUUACCAAUAACAUUAUACAAAUAUAAGAAAAAAUGCACUUUAGUUUGUAGCUUUGUAACCUUGUUUUAUUUUACCGGCUGAUGACUGAAGGCUAAUGCUGUAUGUUAAAUGGAUAUGAUAGGCAAGUGUAAAAAGAUUACUUUGAUUGUGUAAAAGGAUUGUGUUUAUGCACUGAGAAGCAGUUUGAUGUACUGCUCCAUGCUGUAUCCUAUGGAAUGUGCUUGUUAAUAAAGUUUUACAGCUGAUUUUGACUGAA